Molecule: ribosomal RNA, 254 nt
Filed under: uncultured bacterium
Lineage: Bacteria
Also listed under: 1 other name
Description: partial 16S ribosomal RNA
Rfam family: Bacterial small subunit ribosomal RNA
Source: RNAcentral
GACGAACCGUGCGAACGUUAUUCGGAAUCACUGGGCUUAAAGCGCGUGUAGGCGGAUGGGGACGUCGGUCGCUGAAAUCCCCCGGCUCAACCGGGGAACGGGCGCCGAAACGCCCCGUCUCGAGGGACGUAGGGGGACCUGGAACUUCCGGUGGAGCGGUGAAAUGCGUUGAGAUCGGAAGGAACGCCCGUGGCGAAAGCGAGGUCCUGGACGUCUUCUGACGCUGAGACGCGAAAGCUAGGGGAGCGAACGGG